Molecule: non-coding RNA, 26 nt
Filed under: Rattus norvegicus (Norway rat)
Lineage: Eukaryota; Metazoa; Chordata; Mammalia; Rodentia; Muridae
Source: RNAcentral
UUUUUAAAGUCUUUUGAGGUGCAUCA